CCUACGGGCGGCUGCAGUAGGGAAUCUUCCACAAUGGACGAAAGUCUGAUGGAGCGACGCCGCGUGAGUGAAGAAGGGUUUCGGCUCGUAAAGCUCUGUUGGUAGUGAAGAAAGAUAGAGGUAGUAACUGGCCUUGAUUUGACGGUAAUUACUCAGAAAGUCACGGCUCACUACGUGCCAGCAGCCGCGGUAAUACGUAGGUGGCAAGCGUUGUCCGGAUUUAUUGGGCGUAAAGCGAGUGCAGGCGGUUCAAUAAGUCUGAUGUGAAAGCCUUCGGCUCAACCGGAGAAUUGCAUCCGAAACUGUUGAACUUGAGUGCAGAAGAGGCGAGUGGAACUCCAUGUGUAGCGGUGAAAUGCGUAGAUAUAUGGAAGAACACCAGUGGCGAAGGCGGCUCUCUGGUCUGCAACUGACGCUGAGGCUCGAAAGCGUGGGUAGCGAACAGGAUUAGAUACCCCUGUAGUC
This 465-nucleotide ribosomal RNA is filed under the name uncultured bacterium. Its description in RNAcentral is "partial 16S ribosomal RNA". It matches the Rfam family "Bacterial small subunit ribosomal RNA", at positions 338 to 795 of the family's 1533-position model. The record is from RNAcentral.